Molecule: ribosomal RNA, 467 nt
Filed under: uncultured bacterium
Lineage: Bacteria
Description: partial 16S ribosomal RNA
Rfam family: Bacterial small subunit ribosomal RNA
Source: RNAcentral
GAUGAACGCUGGCGGCGUGCUUAACACAUGCAAGUCGAACGGUGAAGGCGGAGCUUGCUCUGCUGGAUCAGUGGCGAACGGGUGAGUAACACGUGAGCAAUCUGCCCCUGACUCUGGGAUAAGCGCUGGAAACGGCGUCUAAUACUGGAUACGAGCUGCGAAGGCAUCUUCGGCAGCUGGAAAGAAUUUCGGUCAGGGAUGAGCUCGCGGCCUAUCAGCUUGUUGGUGAGGUAAUGGCUCACCAAGGCGUCGACGGGUAGCCGGCCUGAGAGGGUGACCGGCCACACUGGGACUGAGACACGGCCCAGACUCCUACGGGAGACAGCAGUGGGGAAUAUUGCACAAUGGGCGAAAGCCUGAUGCAGCAACGCCGCGUGAGGGACGACGGCCUUCGGGUUGUAAACCUCUUUUAGCAGGGAAGAAGCGAAAGUGACGGUACCUGCAGAAAAAGCGCCGGCUAACUACGU